This 2804-nucleotide ribosomal RNA is filed under the name Escherichia coli. RNAcentral's name for it is "bacterial LSU rRNA". It matches the Rfam family "Bacterial large subunit ribosomal RNA". Lineage: Bacteria; Pseudomonadati; Pseudomonadota; Gammaproteobacteria; Enterobacterales; Enterobacteriaceae. The record is from RNAcentral.
GGGUUGUGAGGUUAAGCGACUAAGCGUACACGGUGGAUGCCCUGGCAGUCAGAGGCGAUGAAGGACGUGCUAAUCUGCGAUAAGCGUCGGUAAGGUGAUAUGAACCGUUAUAACCGGCGAUUUCCGAAUGGGGAAACCCAGUGUGUUUCGACACACUAUCAUUAACUGAAUCCAUAGGUUAAUGAGGCGAACCGGGGGAACUGAAACAUCUAAGUACCCCGAGGAAAAGAAAUCAACCGAGAUUCCCCCAGUAGCGGCGAGCGAACGGGGAGCAGCCCAGAGCCUGAAUCAGUGUGUGUGUUAGUGGAAGCGUCUGGAAAGGCGCGCGAUACAGGGUGACAGCCCCGUACACAAAAAUGCACAUACUGUGAGCUCGAUGAGUAGGGCGGGACACGUGGUAUCCUGUCUGAAUAUGGGGGGACCAUCCUCCAAGGCUAAAUACUCCUGACUGACCGAUAGUGAACCAGUACCGUGAGGGAAAGGCGAAAAGAACCCCGGCGAGGGGAGUGAAAAAGAACCUGAAACCGUGUACGUACAAGCAGUGGGAGCCUCUUAAUGGGGUGACUGCGUACCUUUUGUAUAAUGGGUCAGCGACUUAUAUUCUGUAGCAAGGUUAACCGAAUAGGGGAGCCGAAGGGAAACCGAGUCUUAACUGGGCGUUAAGUUGCAGGGUAUAGACCCGAAACCCGGUGAUCUAGCCAUGGGCAGGUUGAAGGUUGGGUAACACUAACUGGAGGACCGAACCGACUAAUGUUGAAAAAUUAGCGGAUGACUUGUGGCUGGGGGUGAAAGGCCAAUCAAACCGGGAGAUAGCUGGUUCUCCCCGAAAGCUAUUUAGGUAGCGCCUCGUGAAUUCAUCUCCGGGGGUAGAGCACUGUUUCGGCAAGGGGGUCAUCCCGACUUACCAACCCGAUGCAAACUGCGAAUACCGGAGAAUGUUAUCACGGGAGACACACGGCGGGUGCUAACGUCCGUCGUGAAGAGGGAAACAACCCAGACCGCCAGCUAAGGUCCCAAAGUCAUGGUUAAGUGGGAAACGAUGUGGGAAGGCCCAGACAGCCAGGAUGUUGGCUUAGAAGCAGCCAUCAUUUAAAGAAAGCGUAAUAGCUCACUGGUCGAGUCGGCCUGCGCGGAAGAUGUAACGGGGCUAAACCAUGCACCGAAGCUGCGGCAGCGACACUAUGUGUUGUUGGGUAGGGGAGCGUUCUGUAAGCCUGCGAAGGUGUACUGUGAGGUAUGCUGGAGGUAUCAGAAGUGCGAAUGCUGACAUAAGUAACGAUAAAGCGGGUGAAAAGCCCGCUCGCCGGAAGACCAAGGGUUCCUGUCCAACGUUAAUCGGGGCAGGGUGAGUCGACCCCUAAGGCGAGGCCGAAAGGCGUAGUCGAUGGGAAACAGGUUAAUAUUCCUGUACUUGGUGUUACUGCGAAGGGGGGACGGAGAAGGCUAUGUUGGCCGGGCGACGGUUGUCCCGGUUUAAGCGUGUAGGCUGGUUUUCCAGGCAAAUCCGGAAAAUCAAGGCUGAGGCGUGAUGACGAGGCACUACGGUGCUGAAGCAACAAAUGCCCUGCUUCCAGGAAAAGCCUCUAAGCAUCAGGUAACAUCAAAUCGUACCCCAAACCGACACAGGUGGUCAGGUAGAGAAUACCAAGGCGCUUGAGAGAACUCGGGUGAAGGAACUAGGCAAAAUGGUGCCGUAACUUCGGGAGAAGGCACGCUGAUAUGUAGGUGAAGUCCCUUGCGGAUGGAGCUGAAAUCAGUCGAAGAUACCAGCUGGCUGCAACUGUUUAUUAAAAACACAGCACUGUGCAAACACGAAAGUGGACGUAUACGGUGUGACGCCUGCCCGGUGCCGGAAGGUUAAUUGAUGGGGUUAGCGGUAACGCGAAGCUCUUGAUCGAAGCCCCGGUAAACGGCGGCCGUAACUAUAACGGUCCUAAGGUAGCGAAAUUCCUUGUCGGGUAAGUUCCGACCUGCACGAAUGGCGUAAUGAUGGCCAGGCUGUCUCCACCCGAGACUCAGUGAAAUUGAACUCGCUGUGAAGAUGCAGUGUACCCGCGGCAAGACGGAAAGACCCCGUGAACCUUUACUAUAGCUUGACACUGAACAUUGAGCCUUGAUGUGUAGGAUAGGUGGGAGGCUUUGAAGUGUGGACGCCAGUCUGCAUGGAGCCGGCCUUGAAAUACCACCCUUUAAUGUUUGAUGUUCUAACGUUGGCCCCUGAUCGGGGUUGCGGACAGUGUCUGGUGGGUAGUUUGACUGGGGCGGUCUCCUCCUAAAGAGUAACGGAGGAGCACGAAGGUUGGCUAAUCCUGGUCGGACAUCAGGAGGUUAGUGCAAUGGCAUAAGCCAGCUUGACUGCGAGCGUGACGGCGCGAGCAGGUGCGAAAGCAGGUCAUAGUGAUCCGGUGGUUCUGAAUGGAAGGGCCAUCGCUCAACGGAUAAAAGGUACUCCGGGGAUAACAGGCUGAUACCGCCCAAGAGUUCAUAUCGACGGCGGUGUUUGGCACCUCGAUGUCGGCUCAUCACAUCCUGGGGCUGAAGUAGGUCCCAAGGGUAUGGCUGUUCGCCAUUUAAAGUGGUACGCGAGCUGGGUUUAGAACGUCGUGAGACAGUUCGGUCCCUAUCUGCCGUGGGCGCUGGAGAACUGAGGGGGGCUGCUCCUAGUACGAGAGGACCGGAGUGGACGCAUCACUGGUGUUCGGGUUGUCAUGCCAAUGGCACUGCCCGGUAGCUAAAUGCGGAAGAGAUAAGUGCUGAAAGCAUCUAAGCACGAAACUUGCCCCGAGAUGAGUUCUCCCUGACUC